RNAcentral lists this ribosomal RNA (465 nucleotides) under uncultured bacterium. RNAcentral describes it as "partial 16S ribosomal RNA". It matches the Rfam family "Bacterial small subunit ribosomal RNA", at positions 338 to 795 of the family's 1533-position model. The record is from RNAcentral.
CCUACGGGUGGCAGCAGUGGGGAAUAUUGCGCAAUGGGCGAAAGCCUGACGCAGCGACGCCGCGUGAGGGAUGAAGGUCUUCGGAUCGUAAACCUCUGUCAGCAGGGAAGAACGGUCACUGUGCUAAUCAGCAGUGAAUUGACGGUACCUGCAAAGGAAGCACCGGCUAACUCCGUGCCAGCAGCCGCGGUAAUACGGAGGGUGCGAGCGUUAAUCGGAUUUACUGGGCGUAAAGCGCUCGUAGGCGGUAUGUCAAGUCAAGGGUGAAAUCCCCGCGCUCAACGUGGGAACUGCCUUUGAAACUGGCAGACUGGAGUGUAGGAGAGGAGAGUGGAAUUCCAGGUGUAGGAGUGAAAUCCGUAGAUAUCUGGAGGAACAUCAGUGGCGAAGGCGACUAUCUGGCCCAUAACUGACGCUGAGGAGCGAAAGCGUGGGUAGCAAACAGGAUGAGAUACCCCUGUAGUC